This 60-nucleotide microRNA precursor is filed under the name Triops cancriformis. Its description in RNAcentral is "microRNA tcf-mir-79 precursor". Its record names the gene tcf-mir-79. The record is from miRBase by way of RNAcentral. Lineage: Eukaryota; Metazoa; Arthropoda; Branchiopoda; Notostraca; Triopsidae.
UUGGUGGUUUCGCUUUCUGGAAGAUUUUUUGGUAUUUCCUAAAGCUAAGCCACCAGAGGG